GACGAACGCUGGCGGCGUGCUUAACACAUGCAAGUCGAACGGAAAGGCCCUGCUUUUGUGGGGUGCUCGAGUGGCGAACGUGUGAGUAACACGUGAGUAACCUGCCCUUGACUUUGGGAUAACUUCAGGAAACUGGGGCUAAUACCGGAUAUGAGCUCCUGCUGCAUGGUGGGGGUUGGAAAGUUUCGGAGGUUGGGGAUGGACUCGCGGCUUAUCAGCUUGUUGGUGGGGUAGUGGCUUAGCAAGGGUUUGACGGGUAGCCGGCCUGGGAGGGUGACCGGCCACAUUGGGACUGAGAUACGGCCCAGACUCCUACGGGAGGCAGCAGUGGGGAAUAUUGCACAAUGGGCGGAAGCCUGAUGCAGCAACGCCGCGUGCGGGAUGACGGCCUUCGGGUUGUAAACCGCUUUCGCCUGUGACGAAGCGUGAGUGACGGUAAUGGGUAAAGAAGCACCGGCUAACUACGUG
RNAcentral lists this ribosomal RNA (468 nucleotides) under uncultured bacterium. RNAcentral describes it as "partial 16S ribosomal RNA". It matches the Rfam family "Bacterial small subunit ribosomal RNA", at positions 28 to 507 of the family's 1533-position model. The record is from RNAcentral.